Neopelma chrysocephalum (saffron-crested tyrant-manakin) is the source of this 107-nucleotide small nuclear RNA. The record is from RefSeq and is a predicted model, not a curated record. Lineage: Eukaryota; Metazoa; Chordata; Aves; Passeriformes; Pipridae.
GUGCUCACUUCAGCAGCACGUAUGCUACAAUUGGAAAGAUGCAGAACUAUUUAGCACAACCCCUGUGCAAGAAUGACAUGCAAAUUCAUGAAGUAUUCCAUAUUUUA